This 252-nucleotide ribosomal RNA is filed under the name uncultured bacterium. Its description in RNAcentral is "partial 16S ribosomal RNA". It matches the Rfam family "Bacterial small subunit ribosomal RNA", at positions 524 to 776 of the family's 1533-position model. The record is from RNAcentral.
UACGUAGGGGGCUAGCGUUGUCCGGAUUUAUUGGGCGUAAAGAGCGUGUAGGCGCCAUGUAGGUCCGGUGUGAAAACUCGAGGCUUAACCUCGAGAUGUCAUCGGAAACCAUCUGGCUAGAGUCCGGAAGAGGAGAGUGGAAUUCCUGGUGUAGCGGUGAAAUGCGUAGAUAUCAAGAGGAACACCUGAGGCGAAGGCGGGUUGCUAGGCUGACACUGACGCUGAAGCGCGAAAGCCAGGGGAGCAAACGGG